RNAcentral lists this ribosomal RNA (497 nucleotides) under uncultured bacterium. RNAcentral's name for it is "partial 16S ribosomal RNA". It matches the Rfam family "Bacterial small subunit ribosomal RNA", at positions 28 to 507 of the family's 1533-position model. The record is from RNAcentral.
GACGAACGCUGGCGGCGUGCCUAAUACAUGCAAGUAGAACGCUGAAGAGAGGAGCUUGCUCUUCUUGGAUGAGUUGCGAACGGGUGAGUAACGCGUAGGUAACCUGCCUGGUAGCGGGGGAUAACUAUUGGAAACGAUAGCUAAUACCGCAUAAAAUUGAUUAUUGCAUGAUAAUUAAUUGAAAGAUGCAACUGCAUCACUACCAGAUGGACCUGCGUUGUAUUAGCUAGUUGGUGAGGUAACGGCUCACCAAGGCGACGAUACAUAGCCGACCUGAGAGGGUGGUCGGCCACACUGGGACUGAGACACGGCCCAGACUCCUACGGGAGGCAGCAGUAGGGAAUCUUCGGCAAUGGGGGGAACCCUGACCGAGCAACGCCGCGUGAGUGAAGAAGGGUUUCGGAUCGUAAAGCUCUGUUGUAAGAGAAGAACGGGUGUGAGAGUGGAAAGUUCACACUGUGACGGUAUCUUACCAGAAAGGGACGGCUAACUACGUG